CCUACGGGAGGCAGCAGUGGGGGAAUAUUGCACAAUGGGCGCAAGCCUGAUGCAGCCAUGCCGCGUGUAUGAAGAAGGCCUUCGGGUUGUAAAGCACUUUCAGUCAGGAGGAAAGGUUAGUAGUUAAUACCUGCUAGCUGUGACGUUACUGACAGAAGAAGCACCGGCUAACUCCGUGCCAGCAGCCGCGGUAAUACGGAGGGUGCGAGCGUUAAUCGGAAUUACUGGGCGUAAAGCGUACGCAGGCGGUUUGUUAAGCGAGAUGUGAAAGCCCCGGGCUCAACCUGGGAACUGCAUUUCGAACUGGCAAACUAGAGUGUGAUAGAGGGUGGUAGAAUUUCAGGUGUAGCGGUGAAAUGCGUAGAGAUCUGAAGGAAUACCGAUGGCGAAGGCAGCCACCUGGGUCAACACUGACGCUCAUGUACGAAAGCGUGGGGAGCAAACAGGAUUAGAUACCCUGGUAGUCCACGCCGUAAACGAUGUCUACUAGAAGCUCGGAACUUCGGUUCUGUUUUUCAAAGCUAACGCAUUAAGUAGACCGCCUGGGGAGUACGGCCGCAAGGUUAAAACUCAAAUGAAUUGACGGGG
RNAcentral lists this ribosomal RNA (588 nucleotides) under uncultured Pseudoalteromonas sp. RNAcentral describes it as "bacterial SSU rRNA". It matches the Rfam family "Bacterial small subunit ribosomal RNA", at positions 338 to 918 of the family's 1533-position model. The record is from RNAcentral. Lineage: Bacteria; Pseudomonadati; Pseudomonadota; Gammaproteobacteria; Alteromonadales; Pseudoalteromonadaceae.